UACAGAGACUGCAAGCGUUAUUCGGAUUCACUGGGCGUAAAGGGUGCGCAGGCGGUUGGGUGUGUCAGAUGUGAAAUCCCGAGGCUUAACCUCGGAACUGCGUCUGAAACUACUCGACUAGAGUACUGGAGAGGGAAACGGAAUUCACGGUGUAGCAGUGAAAUGCGUAGAUAUCGUGAGGAACACCAGAGGCGAAGGCGGUUUCCUGGACAGUUACUGACGCUCAGGCACGAAAGCAUGGGGAGCAAAAAGGG
RNAcentral lists this ribosomal RNA (254 nucleotides) under uncultured bacterium. Its description in RNAcentral is "partial 16S ribosomal RNA". It matches the Rfam family "Bacterial small subunit ribosomal RNA", at positions 524 to 777 of the family's 1533-position model. The record is from RNAcentral.